This 333-nucleotide ribosomal RNA is filed under the name Laparocerus mucronatus. RNAcentral describes it as "partial 12S ribosomal RNA". Lineage: Eukaryota; Metazoa; Arthropoda; Insecta; Coleoptera; Curculionidae. The record is from RNAcentral.
AAUACCCUAUUAUUUUAAAAGUAAUUAAAUAAAUCUAAUUAGUAAUAGUUAAGUUCUUGAAAAUUAAAGAAUUUGGCGGUAUUUUAGUCUAUUCAGAGGAAUCUGUCCUAUAAUUGAUAAUCCACGAUUUUUUAUACCUAAUUUAUUAAUUUACAUAUCGCCGUAGUUUGAAUAUUUUUUUAAAAUUAUAAUAUUCAUAAUUUAUUUUGAUAAAAAAAAUCAGGUCAAGGUGUAGUUUAUGACUAGGAAGAGAUGGGUUACAAUAAAAGUAUUUAUUAUGGAUUAAUUAAUUAAAUUUUUUUAUGAAGGUGGAUUUGAAAGUAAUUUUAUUUA